This 68-nucleotide transfer RNA is filed under the name Lethe marginalis. Its description in RNAcentral is "tRNA-Cys". The record is from RNAcentral. Lineage: Eukaryota; Metazoa; Arthropoda; Insecta; Lepidoptera; Nymphalidae.
AGCCUUAUAGUCAUAUUUUGAUAUAAAAUUGCAAAUUUUAUGGGGUAUAAAAUUAAAUACUAAGGCUU